GUCAGAUUGGCCGAGCGGGUCUAAGGCGCCAGAUUUAAGCUCUGGUUCCCGUAAGGGAGCGUGGGUUCGAACCCCACAUCUGACA
RNAcentral lists this transfer RNA (85 nucleotides) under Schistocerca americana (American grasshopper). Its description in RNAcentral is "tRNA-Leu". It matches the Rfam family "tRNA". From Rfam's summary of the family: Transfer RNA (tRNA) molecules are approximately 80 nucleotides in length. Their secondary structure includes four short double-helical elements and three loops (D, anti-codon, and T loops). Further hydrogen bonds mediate the characteristic L-shaped molecular structure. tRNAs have two regions of fundamental functional importance: the anti-codon, which is responsible for specific mRNA codon recognition, and the 3' end, to which the tRNAs corresponding amino acid is attached (by aminoacyl-tRNA synthetases). tRNAs cope with the degeneracy of the genetic code in two manners: having more than one tRNA (with a specific anti-codon) for a particular amino acid; and 'wobble' base-pairing, i.e. permitting non-standard base-pairing at the 3rd anti-codon position. Lineage: Eukaryota; Metazoa; Arthropoda; Insecta; Orthoptera; Acrididae. The record is from RNAcentral.